Molecule: ribosomal RNA, 1372 nt
Filed under: uncultured bacterium
Lineage: Bacteria
Description: bacterial SSU rRNA
Rfam family: Bacterial small subunit ribosomal RNA
Source: RNAcentral
GAUGAACGCUGGCGGCGUGCCUAAUACGUGCAAGUCGAGCGAACAGAUAAGGAGCUUGCUCCUUUGAAGUUAGCGGCGGACGGGUGAGUAACACGUGGGUAACCUACCUAUAAGACUGGGAUAACUUCGGGAAACCGGAGCUAAUACCGGAUAACAUUUAGAACCGCAUGGUGGGGGGGUGAAAGAUGGUUUUGCUAUCAAGGAUAGAUGGACCCGCGCCGUAUUAGCUAGUUGGUAAGGUAACGGCUUACCAAGGCGACGAUACGUAGCCGACCUGAGAGGGUGAUCGGCCACACUGGAACUGAGACACGGUCCAGACUCCUACGGGAGGCAGCAGUAGGGAAUCUUCCGCAAUGGGCGAAAGCCUGACGGAGCAACGCCGCGUGAGUGAUGAAGGGUUUCGGCUCGUAAAACUCUGUUAUUAGGGAAGAACAAAUGUGUAAGUAACUGUGCACAUCUUGACGGUACCUAAUCAGAAAGCCACGGCUAACUACGUGCCAGCAGCCGCGGUAAUACGUAGGUGGCAAGCGUUAUCCGGAAUUAUUGGGCGUAAAGCGCGCGUAGGCGGUUUCUUAAGUCUGAUGUGAAAGCCCACGGCUCAACCGUGGAGGGUCAUUGGAAACUGGGGAACUUGAGUGCAGAAGAGGAAAGUGGAAUUCCAUGUGUAGCGGUGAAAUGCGCAGAGAUAUGGAGGAACACCAGUGGCGAAGGCGACUUUCUGGUCUGUAACUGACGCUGAUGUGCGAAAGCGUGGGGAUCAAACAGGAUUAGAUACCCUGGUAGUCCACGCCGUAAACGAUGAGUGCUAAGUGUUAGGGGGUUUCCGCCCCUUAGUGCUGCAGCUAACGCAUUAAGCACUCCGCCUGGGGAGUACGACCGCAAGGUUGAAACUCAAAGGAAUUGACGGGGACCCGCACAAGCGGUGGAGCAUGUGGUUUAAUUCGAAGCAACGCGAAGAACCUUACCAAAUCUUGACAUCCUUUGAAAACUCUAGAGAUAGAGCCUUCCCCUUCGGGGGACAAAGUGACAGGUGGUGCAUGGUUGUCGUCAGCUCGUGUCGUGAGAUGUUGGGUUAAGUCCCGCAACGAGCGCAACCCUUAAGCUUAGUUGCCAUCAUUAAGUUGGGCACUCUAGGUUGACUGCCGGUGACAAACCGGAGGAAGGUGGGGAUGACGUCAAAUCAUCAUGCCCCUUAUGAUUUGGGCUACACACGUGCUACAAUGGACAAUACAAAGGGCAGCUAAACCGCGAGGUCAUGCAAAUCCCAUAAAGUUGUUCUCAGUUCGGAUUGUAGUCUGCAACUCGACUACAUGAAGCUGGAAUCGCUAGUAAUCGUAGAUCAGCAUGCUACGGUGAAUACGUUCCCGGGUCU